UACGGAGGGGGCUAGCGUUGUUCGGAAUUACUGGGCGUAAAGCGUACGUAGGCGGAUCAGUCAGUUAGGGGUGAAAGCCCAGGGCUCAACCCUGGAACUGCCUUUAAUACUGCUGGUCUGGAGGUCGAGAGAGGUGAGUGGAAUUCCGAGUGUAGAGGUGAAAUUCGUAGAUAUUCGGAGGAACACCAGUGGCGAAGGCGGCUCACUGGCUCGAUACUGACGCUGAGGUGCGAAAGCGUGGGGAGCAAACAGG
Molecule: ribosomal RNA, 253 nt
Filed under: uncultured bacterium
Lineage: Bacteria
Description: partial 16S ribosomal RNA
Rfam family: Bacterial small subunit ribosomal RNA
Source: RNAcentral